Molecule: ribosomal RNA, 424 nt
Filed under: Verrucomicrobiota bacterium
Lineage: Bacteria; Pseudomonadati; Verrucomicrobiota
Description: Verrucomicrobia bacterium partial 16S ribosomal RNA
Rfam family: Bacterial small subunit ribosomal RNA
Source: RNAcentral
UGAGGAAUAUUGGUCAAUGGACGAGAGUCUGAACCAGCCAAGUAGCGUGCAGGAUGACGGCCCUAUGGGUUGUAAACUGCUUUUGUUUGGGAAUAAUCUACAUUACGUGUAAUGUUUUGCAUGUACCAUUCGAAUAAGGACCGGCUAAUUCCGUGCCAGCAGCCGCGGUAAUACGGAAGGUCCAGGCGUUAUCCGGAUUUAUUGGGUUUAAAGGGAGUGUAGGCGGUUGGUUAAGCGUGUUGUGAAAUGUAGAUGCUCAACAUCUGACUUGCAGCGCGAACUGGCUGACUUGAGUACACACAACGUAGGCGGAAUUCAUGGUGUAGCGGUGAAAUGCUUAGAUAUCAUGAAGAACUCAGAUUGCGAAGGCAGCUUACGGGAGUGUUACUGACGCUUAAGCUCGAAGGUGCGGGUAUCGAACAGG